This 166-nucleotide ribosomal RNA is filed under the name Saurida umeyoshii. RNAcentral's name for it is "partial 12S rRNA". The record is from RNAcentral. Lineage: Eukaryota; Metazoa; Chordata; Actinopteri; Aulopiformes; Synodontidae.
CACCGCGGUUAUACGAGAGGCCCAAGUUGACAAACACCGGCGUAAAGUGUGGUUAGGAUUUUUCCCACUAAAGUCAAACACCCCCAGAACUGUUAUACGCUCCCGGGGGCAGGAAGCUCAACAACGAAAGUGACUUUAAACCUCCGACCCCACGACAGCUAUGACA